This 653-nucleotide ribosomal RNA is filed under the name uncultured archaeon. RNAcentral's name for it is "bacterial SSU rRNA". It matches the Rfam family "Archaeal small subunit ribosomal RNA", at positions 92 to 746 of the family's 1478-position model. The record is from RNAcentral.
AGUAACACGUGGCCAAGCUCCCCUUCAGUCAGCGAUACCCUCGGGAAACUGAGGUUAACAGCUGAUACAAAACGCCAGCUGGAAUGCGGCGUUUCAGAAAGACAUCGCUGAAGGAUGCGGCUGCGGCCGAUUAGGUAGACGGUGGGGUAACGGCCCACCGUGCCAGUAAUCGGUACGGGUGAUGAGAGUCAGAGCCCGGAGACGGAAUCUGAGACAAGAUUCCGGGCCCUACGGGGCGCAGCAGGCGCGAAACCUUUACACUGCACGGAAGUGCGAUAGGGGAAUCCUAAGUGCGAGGGCAUAUUAGCCCUCGCUUUUCUCGACUGUAAGGUGGUCGACGAAUAAGAGCUGGGCAAGACCGGUGCCAGCCGCCGCGGUAAUACCGGCAGCCCAAGUGAUGGCCGAUCUUAUUGGGCCUAAAGCGUCCGUAGCUGGCCGCGCAAGUCCAUCGGAAAAUCCACCCGCCCAACGGGUGGGCGUCCGGUGGAAACUGCGUGGCUUGGGACCGGAAGGCGCGACGGGUACGUCCGGGGUAGGAGUGAAAUCCCGUAAUCCUGGACGGACCGCCGAUGGCGAAAGCACGUCGCGAAGACGGAUCCGACAGUGAGGGACGAAAGCUAGGGUCUCGAGCCGGAUUAGAUACCCCGGUAGUC